Molecule: ribosomal RNA, 774 nt
Filed under: uncultured Neocallimastigales
Lineage: Eukaryota; Fungi; Neocallimastigomycota; Neocallimastigomycetes; Neocallimastigales
Description: partial large subunit ribosomal RNA
Rfam family: Eukaryotic large subunit ribosomal RNA
Source: RNAcentral
UAUGUGAUCGUCUCUCGCAUAUCAAUAAGCGGAGGAAAAGAAACUAACAAGGAUUCCCCUAGCAACGGCGAGUGAAGCGGGAAGAGCUCAAAUUUGAAAUCUUAAAGGGUUUCCCUUUACGAAUUGUAGUUUAAAGAAGCGUUUUCUGUUGAGGUUUUGGUAAAAGUUCUUUGGAAUAGGACAUCAUAGAGGGUGAGAAUCCCGUAUUUGACCUUUACUUUCAACUUUGUGAUACACUUUCAAAGAGUCGGAUUGUUUGGGAAUGCAGUCCAAAAUGGGUGGUAAAUUUCAUCUAAAGCUAAAUAUUGGCGAGAGACCGAUAGCGAACAAGUACCGUGAGGGAAAGAUGAAAAGAACUUUGAAAAGAGAGUUAAACAGUACGUGCAAUUGUCAAAAGGGAAGCGCUUGACACCAGUGUUGUUUUUCUGAAAAUCAAUUAAAGAACUGUUUAUGCUAAGCUGUUUAGACUUUAUCAGCUAACUGUUUAGUUUUGAGCUUUUCUUUAAUGCACUUUUCAGUUAACAAGUCAACAUCAAUUUCUUUUGCUGUAAAAAAGCUUGAGGAAGGUGGCUUGAGAUUCGUCUUAAGUGUUUAUAGCCUCUUGCCUAUGCAGUCGGAGAGAUUGAGGUCUGCAGCGUAGAUCCUUCGGGGCUAAAUGCAUUUGUGCUAAGUUAUAGCAUUUUAUAGACAACUUGUUGACUAUGAUUUGUCUUGUAGCUUACUCGCUUAUGUUAUUUUACCUACGCUUAGGAUGUUGAGUAGCGACAUACGCAC